GUCUACAGCCAUACCACCUUGAACAAGCCCGAUCUCGCCUGAUCUUGGAGCUAAGCCGGGUCGGGCCUGGUUAGUGCUUGGAUGGGAAACAGGGUCUCGCUAUGCAGUUCAGGCUGGUCUUGAGC
This 125-nucleotide ribosomal RNA is filed under the name Chinchilla lanigera (long-tailed chinchilla). The record is from RNAcentral. Lineage: Eukaryota; Metazoa; Chordata; Mammalia; Rodentia; Chinchillidae.